CUUAGCUCUGGUGGCUUGAUGUUUUACUCGUGCUAUCUUCUACUUUGUUGGGAUUGAAAAGAAAUGAUAUUUCAUAUCACUGAUACCCCACUGCGUUCAGCUAUGAGAGCAGAAUGAUGGUGUCAGAAGUUGGAUCUGGACUAGAGUUUCUAGAGACUCACAGGAGCCUUAAGACCAAGCAAGGUGUUCGCUGGACCCAUUGUGUCCAUUACUCUCUCCCAGCAACUAAGGAUUAUGGAAAAUUCAACAUGGCAAUCAAAUGCUCACAUUUAUUACCAUGGAGCAAGCAAUAUCCUACAAUUAACAUAUAGCAAGUAAUCUCUUAUAAUUUUAAUUGUAUAUUUAUGUAUAUUUAAUUGUAUAUUUACUCAUUUUGUUGUCUAGAUUUGAUUGUAGUAGUUUUGUAUUCAUUUUCACAAUUUGAGUAAGAAGGGCUAUAACAAGCUUCUGAGUCUUUCAAGAACCAAAUCUGGAUUUGCAUUAAAUCAACCGCUUUUCCCUUUUAUUUAAAAAACACUACUUUUAUGUUUAUCUUUAGUGAUUAUUAGUCUGUUAUUUUCCAAAAAUUUUAGUUGAAUGCUUUA
This is a long non-coding RNA of Cercocebus atys (sooty mangabey), 584 nucleotides long. RefSeq lists it as uncharacterized. The transcript is spliced from 3 exons. Lineage: Eukaryota; Metazoa; Chordata; Mammalia; Primates; Cercopithecidae. The record is from RefSeq and is a predicted model, not a curated record.